This is a non-coding RNA of Acinetobacter sp. RIFCSPHIGHO2_12_41_5, 147 nucleotides long. NCBI's taxonomy places the organism in Bacteria, Pseudomonadati, Pseudomonadota, Gammaproteobacteria, Moraxellales, Moraxellaceae. The record is from Rfam.
GAAAGCCGUAUUCGGGAAAACUGAACGUACGGUUUGAUGAGGGGGAGUUGGAAAUAGAGCAUGGUUAGGCUCGUGAGGCACUGUCAGACGAAAGGGACAGAAACAGAUAGGCCAAACCUAAACCACUACGCCAGUUCCCUACUCUAC